This 133-nucleotide transfer RNA is filed under the name Ramalina farinacea. It matches the Rfam family "tRNA". From Rfam's summary of the family: Transfer RNA (tRNA) molecules are approximately 80 nucleotides in length. Lineage: Eukaryota; Fungi; Ascomycota; Lecanoromycetes; Lecanorales; Ramalinaceae. The record is from Rfam by way of RNAcentral.
GGUCUUGUGGCGCAAUUGGUUAGCGCGUUCGACUGUUAUGACACUGGCGAAAUCUCGGAAUCUCAAAAUUUCCGAAAUUUGGUCAAGAGGUUAUAUUAUCGAGAGGUUGACAGUUCAAUCCUGUCCAGGACCG